This 270-nucleotide long non-coding RNA is filed under the name Elaeis guineensis (African oil palm). RNAcentral's name for it is "long non-coding RNA (EGUI_LNC077343)". Lineage: Eukaryota; Viridiplantae; Streptophyta; Magnoliopsida; Arecales; Arecaceae. The record is from RNAcentral.
AAUUUGAAGCUCAUUACUUAGUAAUACUAGAAAACUUCUUGAAUUUCGAUCUUAAAUUAAUUUGCAAAGGAAGGACCUUUUUGGAAUAUGAUCUUAUUUUGGUACAUUGCUAAGGGAUUAGCAAUGAUUAAGUUGGGGGGUGUGAUUUAUAUCACAAAUUGACAUAAAAAGUAUCAAUUAAUAUCUAAAUUAUCUAACUUUAUUAAGAAAUUGAUACUUGUUAUUAUAUUUUGCAGAAGAAGAGAUCAUCAAUAGAAAGAAUAAGGAAAG